GAUGAACGCUGGCGGCGUGCUUAACACAUGCAAGUCGAACGAAGCACUUUAUUUUAUUUCCUUCGUUACUGAUUAUUUUGUGACUGAGUGGCGGACGGGUGAGUAACGCUUGGGUAACCUGCCUUGUAUAGGGGGAUAACAGUUGGAAACGUCUGCUAAUACCGCAUAAGCGCACGGCAUCGCAUGAUGCAGUUAUAAUACCUCCGGUGGUUUAAGAUGCACCCGCGGUGGAUUAGCUAGUUGGUGUGGUAACGGGCCACCACGGCGACGAGCCAUAGGCGAACAGAGAGGGUGACCGGCGACAUAGGGACUGAGACAAGGCAGAAGCUCGUACGAGAGGAAGAAGUGGGGAAUAUUGAAGAAUGGGCGAAGGGCGGAUGAAGAGAGGCCGCGUGAGCGAAGAAGUAUUUCGGUAUGUAAAGGUCUAUCAGCAGGGAAGAUAAUGACGGUACCUGAAUAAGAAGCACCGGCUAAAUACGUG
Molecule: ribosomal RNA, 481 nt
Filed under: uncultured bacterium
Lineage: Bacteria
Description: partial 16S ribosomal RNA
Rfam family: Bacterial small subunit ribosomal RNA
Source: RNAcentral